Sebastes umbrosus (honeycomb rockfish) is the source of this 139-nucleotide long non-coding RNA. RefSeq lists it as uncharacterized. The transcript is spliced from 2 exons. The record is from RefSeq and is a predicted model, not a curated record. NCBI's taxonomy places the organism in Eukaryota, Metazoa, Chordata, Actinopteri, Perciformes, Sebastidae.
GUCAAAGUUAAUAAUGCGUUAACGCAAAUUUGUUUUAACAUCACUAAUUUCUUUAACUCAUUAACGCCACUUGCCAUUUUUAGGUUGUAGCGUGCUCAGUUUUAAAGCUAAAGUGAAGGUACUGGUAUCAUAUGAAACU